CUGUUCGCCAUUUAAAGUGGUACGCGAGCUGGGUUUAGAACGUCGUGAGACAGUUCGGUCCCUAUCUGCCGUGGGCGUUGGAAACUUGAGAAGAGCUGCUCCUAGUACGAGAGGACCGGAGUGGACGUAUCUCUGGUGUUCCGGUUGUCACGCCAGUGGCAUUGCCGGGUAGCUAUAUACGGACGGGAUAACCGCUGAAAGCAUCUAAGCGGGAAGCCCCCUUCAAGAUUAGGUUUCUCUGGACCCUAGAGGUCCCUGUAGAGCCCUCGAAGACUACGAGGUUGAUAGGCUGGGUGUGGAAGUUCAGUAAUGAAUGAAGCUAACCAGUACUAAUUGCUCGUGAGGCUUGGCCAU
RNAcentral lists this ribosomal RNA (354 nucleotides) under Gammaproteobacteria bacterium. RNAcentral's name for it is "partial 23S ribosomal RNA". It matches the Rfam family "Bacterial large subunit ribosomal RNA", at positions 2577 to 2925 of the family's 2925-position model. Lineage: Bacteria; Pseudomonadati; Pseudomonadota; Gammaproteobacteria. The record is from RNAcentral.